RNAcentral lists this ribosomal RNA (802 nucleotides) under Cyclidium glaucoma. RNAcentral describes it as "SSU rRNA". It matches the Rfam family "Eukaryotic small subunit ribosomal RNA", at positions 45 to 871 of the family's 1831-position model. The record is from RNAcentral. Lineage: Eukaryota; Ciliophora; Oligohymenophorea; Pleuronematida; Cyclidiidae.
UAAGCCAUGCAUGUCUAAGUAUAAAUAGAAUACAGUGAAACUGCGAAUGGCUCAUUAAAACAGUUAUAGUUUAUUUGAUGAUUGAAGUCUACAUGGAUAACCGUGGUAAUUCUAGAGCUAAUACAUGCAUUCAGGCCCGACUCACGAAGGGCUGUAUUUAUUAGAUAUGAAGCCAAUAUUCCGCAAGGUCUAUUGUGGUGAAUCAUAGUAACUGAUCGGAUCCCCAACUGGGGAUAGAUCAUUCAAGUUUCUGCCCUAUCAGCUUUCGAUGGUAGUGUAUUGGACUACCAUGGCAGUAACGGGUAACGGAGAAUUAGGGUUCGGUUCCGGAGAGGGAGCCUGAGAAACGGCUACCACAUCUAAGGAAGGCAGCAGGCGCGUAAAUUACCCAAUGCAGAUUCUGCGAGGUAGUGACAAUACAUAACAACCUGGGGUCUCACGACUUACGGGAUUGCAAUGAGAACAAUUUAAAAACCUUAACGAGGAACAAGUGGAGGGCAAGUCUGGUGCCAGCAGCCGCGGUAAUUCCAGCUCCACUAGCGUAUAUUAAAGUUGUUGCAGUUAAAAAGCUCGUAGUUGAACUUCUGGUUGUGCGCCAGUGGUCGGUCUUCGAUCGCCCUGGGUGCAGCCAUCCGUCUGCAAACUUUUACAUCCUUAACUGGUUUGUCUAAGGGAGCAGGCAUUUUACUUUGAAAAAAUUAGAGUGUUUAAGGCAGGCACUAGCCGCUGAAUACAUUAGCAUGGAAUAAUGGAAUAGGACGCCUUGUCCAUUUGAUUGGUUAUUGGACUUGCGUAAUGAUUA